RNAcentral lists this transfer RNA (68 nucleotides) under Mesocricetus auratus (golden hamster). It matches the Rfam family "tRNA". From Rfam's summary of the family: Transfer RNA (tRNA) molecules are approximately 80 nucleotides in length. Their secondary structure includes four short double-helical elements and three loops (D, anti-codon, and T loops). Further hydrogen bonds mediate the characteristic L-shaped molecular structure. tRNAs have two regions of fundamental functional importance: the anti-codon, which is responsible for specific mRNA codon recognition, and the 3' end, to which the tRNAs corresponding amino acid is attached (by aminoacyl-tRNA synthetases). tRNAs cope with the degeneracy of the genetic code in two manners: having more than one tRNA (with a specific anti-codon) for a particular amino acid; and 'wobble' base-pairing, i.e. permitting non-standard base-pairing at the 3rd anti-codon position. Lineage: Eukaryota; Metazoa; Chordata; Mammalia; Rodentia; Cricetidae. The record is from Rfam by way of RNAcentral.
GCUAGCUCAGUCAGUAGAGCAUGAGACUCUUAAUCUCAGGGUAGUGGGUUCAUGGCUCACAUUGGGCA